This 252-nucleotide long non-coding RNA is filed under the name Lathyrus oleraceus (garden pea). Its description in RNAcentral is "Pisum sativum (pea) long non-coding RNA (PSAT_LNC017559)". The record is from RNAcentral. Lineage: Eukaryota; Viridiplantae; Streptophyta; Magnoliopsida; Fabales; Fabaceae.
AAGUAGCUACAACCGGAGGUUUCACGCAGAUCCGAUUGAAACCAACUGAGCUAAAAUUUUGGAGAACGUGGAGUUCUUGCAAUAAGGUAGCUAUAACCGGAGGUUGUUCGAAACGCUUGAAGGACUUGGUUCAACUCGAAUCAAGGGGAGGGAAGUGAAUAGGAUCUGCAACAACACUAGGGGUUGAUUGGUGGUGAUCAUUUGUUCUCUUGUAUUAACUUUGCAACUUGUUAAUGAAAACAUCUCAAUUCU